This 342-nucleotide ribosomal RNA is filed under the name uncultured eukaryote. Its description in RNAcentral is "bacterial SSU rRNA". It matches the Rfam family "Eukaryotic small subunit ribosomal RNA", at positions 594 to 945 of the family's 1831-position model. The record is from RNAcentral.
AUAGCGUAUAUUAAAAUUGUUGCGUCUAAAAAGCUCGUAGUUUGAAAACUUGCCUUGGCUUACAUAGGUUCUUAGGGGCCACCGUUUGUCGAGCGCAAAUAUGGAUGACUGUUUUUGCCGACUUCAUUGUUGGGCUUAUGAGAGUUAUCAAAUAUCACUUUGAUUAAAUUAGAGUGCUUAAAGCAAGUGUGUUACUUGGAUAUAAAUGCAUGGAAUGAUGGAAUAUGUUGUUGUUCUAUUUGUUGGUUGUUGAACGAUGAAAUGAUUGAAAGGAACUGUUGGGGGCAUUCGUAUUGUUGUGAGAGAGGUGAAAUUCUUAGACCACAGCAAGACGAACUACUG